This 1998-nucleotide ribosomal RNA is filed under the name Pyropia haitanensis. RNAcentral describes it as "LSU rRNA". It matches the Rfam family "Eukaryotic large subunit ribosomal RNA", at positions 51 to 1910 of the family's 3401-position model. Lineage: Eukaryota; Rhodophyta; Bangiophyceae; Bangiales; Bangiaceae. The record is from RNAcentral.
CGGAGGAUAAGAAACUAAAAAGGAUUCCCUCAGUAGCGGCGAGCGAAGCGGGAAAAGCUCAACAUGAAAACCGGUAGGGGUACACCCCCCCCUGACCGGGUUGUAGGGUAAAGUGGUGUCGUCAGUGUCGAGUCGGAUAUAAAUCCCGUUUGGAAUGGGGUGUCAUAGAGGGUGAUAACCCGUCUUGAUCCGACAUGCCGAUGCGUUACGAUGACCUUACAAAGAGUCGGGUUGCUUGGGCAUGCAGCCCAAAGUGGGUGGUAAACUCCAUCUAAAGCUAAAUAUCAGCGAGAGACCGAUAGUGUACAAGUACCGUAAGGGAAAGAUGCAAAGAACUUUGAAAAGAGAGUCAAACAGGGCUUGAAACCGUUAAGAGAGAAGCGAAGGAGGCCAGUGAUCAUGGGGCCAGAUCCCCAAGUGCCCGUACAGGGGCGCCGUAACGUUCUGGUUUUUCCCGGGGCAGCGCCGACCGGCGGGCUCGUGACAAAGGGGAGGGGGUUGAGGGAUUUGUUUCCCGCCUCUUGCUCCUCUAUGGCUUUGCCUCUGGUCGAGGGCGUUUACACCUUCCACUUUAUUGUGUGAGGGCGCUGUCAAAAUGGCCUUUUCCAUCCCGUCUUGAAACACGGACCAAGGAGUCUAACAUACUCGCAAGUGUUUGGGUGUUUAAAACCUCUGCGCACAAUGAAAGUAAAUCGGUAGCUCUGCGUUACUGUACGGUGGGAACCCUAACGUAUGUAUACAUGGGGGCACCAUCACCCGGUCCCGAUCCCCUCGGGGUGGUUGGUUUCGUGGCAGAGCGAGUAUGCUGGGACCCGAAAGAUGGUGAACUAUUCCUGAAUAGGGCAAAGCCAGAGGAAACUCUGGUGGAGGCUCGUAGCGAUGCUGACGUGCAAAUCGCUCGUCGAAUUUGGGUAUAGGGGCGAAAGACUAAUCGAACCAUCUAGUAGCUGGUUCCCUCCGAAGUUUCCCUCAGGAUAGCGAGAGCAAAUGCAAGUCAGUAUCAUCCGGUAAAGCGAAUGAUUAGAGGCCUCGGGGGAGUAACUCCUUCGACCUAUUCUCAAACUUUAAAUAGGUGAGGCGCCGGUCAAGUUGCUUCGAACAAUGAACGCCGUGCGGACAAUGAUUGCUCUUAGUGGGCCGAUUUUGGUAAGCAGAACGACGAUACGAGCGGGAUGAACCGAAAGCGACGCUAAGGUGCCAAACUCCCGGCUCAUUCAGACACCAGAAAAGGUGUUGAUUCAUACAGACAGCAGGACGGUGGCCAUGGAAGUCGGAAUCCGCUAAGGAGUGUGUAACAACUCACCUGCCGAAUGGAUCAGCCCUGAGAAUGGAUGGCGCUUAAGCAGGGGACCGAGGCGUUGCCGUUGGGGCAAAUACGAGGCCCUGAUGAGUAGGAGGGCGUGGGGGUUUUGAAAUACGGUACAUUCGCGUGGAAGCCUUGGGCGUGAGCUCGGGUGGAGCGGCCCCUAGUGUAGAUCUUGGUGGUAGUAGCAAAUAUUCAAGUGGGAACCUUGAAGACUGAAGUGGGGAAGGGUUCCACGCGAACAGUGCUUGGACGUGGGUUAGUCGGUCCUAAGAGAUGGGGAAACUCUGUAGCCAAGUGCGCUCUUAUUUUUUCGCAGCGCAGUCCAUCAAAAGGGAAGCGGGUUAACAUUCUCGCACCGGGAUGUGGAAACUGUGGUUACCGCAAACUGCGGCAACGCAAAUGAACUUGGGGACGCCCGUAGGAGCUCCGAACAGGGAUCUCUUUCCUGUUUAACGCGCUCAACCCCCUGGAAUCGGUUUGUCCGGAGAUAGGGGGCGGAAGGCCGGAAAAGCACCGCACGUCUUGUGGUGUUCGGAACGCUCGUAAUGGCCCUUGAAAACCCAGGGGAAAGCAGCCGUCCACGCGCCUCUUCUGGAUGCGGGACGAGUAAUUCUCACACCUGGCCGUACCCAUAACCGCAUCAGGUCCCCAAGGUGAACAGCCUCUAGUCAAUAGAAUAAUGCAGGAAAAAA